Molecule: long non-coding RNA, 280 nt
Organism: Arachis ipaensis
Lineage: Eukaryota; Viridiplantae; Streptophyta; Magnoliopsida; Fabales; Fabaceae
Source: RefSeq, a predicted model, not a curated record
GAUUUUAUAUUUGUUCAGUUUGAUUUUAGCUUUUAAUUUGAAGGUCAACAAUGCCAGCUUCAUAUCCUGAGGAUGUUCAAAGCAGUGAGCCAAGAUUUACUAGUGCCACUCCGUCCACUUUUGAAUCAGUCAGAUCUUCGGGACAGUCGAAGUCGAUGCUGCUGCCAUAGCCGCAGUCGCAGCCACAAACAUAGACGCAGACGCAGCCACCAUCGCCGCCGCCGUUACCGCCAUGCAGUGAUCAGAACAAUGAAGGAACUAGAUCUAAGAGGAGGAGAGG